AUUUUUCUGUGCCUUGUUGGGAAUUGUAUGCAGAUAGUAUUAAUCCUUUACCAUCUGAGAACUGCUCUAACGCAAUCAACCAGUGUAUGAAUUGGAUCGUGUUCCUGUCCUGCUAAUCAUUCACAUGUAAUGGGUACUUUUGAGUGUCAGGGAAAAUGCGGAUCUAGUGUAGCUGUAGCAGUUAAACUUUAGUACGCUGCUUUCCAUCUUGUCGACACGAACACACUUUUCAGAAUAUCUUAGACUAGUCUGAGUCAUAAUUGUUGAUGGCAGAGGCUAAGAAAGACAGUAAAGGGACUUUCAAGGGACUUCAAGGAUUCAAUAACGUUUUUUUCAGGACAAGCAGCCAACGAGUUCUCACGGCGUGACGUGGAUGCAUCGGAGAAAAAGACGUGCAAGGGAAUAAACGCCCGUUUCAAGGAACCAACCUGUGUCUUGUCGUGAAGAGAGCUACAUGCCCCUUGUCAUUGUACAUCUGAAGCAGAGAAUAGCUGAACUCACAAAUCAUCUCCAUAUUGUUGAGAUAGCUAUAUGUUCUCAAUUGUAAAUGCCAAGAGUGUGCAAAUCUGUCAUCAAGGCAAAUGGUGGCUACUUUGAAGAAUCUCAAAUAUAAAAUAUAUUUAGAUUUGUUUAACACUUUGAUUACUACAUGAUUCCAUACGUGUUAUUUCAUAGUUUGUCUUCACUAUUAUUCUACAAUGUAGAAAAAUAGUAAAAAUAAAGAAAAAAAACUUGAAUGAGUAUGUGUGUCCAAACUCUUGACUGGUACUGUGUAUAUAUACAUAUAUAUACACCCACACACACAGUGGCAAGAAAAAGUAUGUGAACCCUUUUGGAAUUACCUGGAUUUCUGCAUAAAUUGGUCAUAAAAUUUGACCUGAUCUUCAUCUAAGUCACAACAAUAGACAAGCAGUCUGCUUAAACUAAUAACACACAAUGUGUUUUCAUGUCUUUAUUGAACACACCGUGUAAACAUUCACUGUAGGGUGGAAAAAGUAUGUGAACCCUUGGAUUUAAUAACUGGUUGACCCUCCUUUGGCAGCAAUAACCUCAACCAAAUGUUUUCUGUAGUUGCGGAUCAGACAUGCACAGCGGUCAGGAGGAAUUUUGGACCAUUCAUCUUUACAGAACUGUUUCAGUUCAGCAAUAUUCUUAGGAUGUCUGGUGUGAAUUGCUCGAGGUCAUACCACAGCAUUUUAAAUUGGGAUGAGGUCAGGACUCUGACUGGGCCUCUCCAGAAGGUGUAUUUUCUUCUGUUGAAGCCAUUCUGUUGUUGAUUUACUUCUGUGUUUUGGGUCGUGGUCCUGUUGCAUCACCCAACUUCUGUUGAGCUUCAAUUGGCGGACAGAUAGCCUUACCUUCUCCUACAAAAUGUCUUGAUAAACUUGGGAAUUCAUUUUCCGUCCAUGAUAGCAAGCUGUCCAGGCCCUGAGGCAGCAAAGCAGCCCCAAACCAAAAUGCUCCCUCCACCAUACUUUACAGUUGGGAUUAGCAUGUUCCAGAGAUUUCUGUAAGUCUUUAGCUGACACUCUAGGAAUCUUCUUAACCUCAUUGAGCAUUCUGCACUGUGCUCUUGCAGUCAUCUUUGCUGGACGGCCACUCCUAGGGAGAGUAGCAACAGUGCUGAACUUUCUCCAUUUAUAGACAAUUUGUCUUACUGCAGACUGACGAACAUCAAGGUUUUUAGAGAUACUUUUGUAACCCUUUCCAGCUUUAUAUAAGUUAACAAUUAUUAGGUCUUCUGCGCUCUCUUUUGUUUGAGGCAUGGUUCACAUCAGGCAAUGCUUCUUGUGAAUAGAAAACUCCAAUUUUGUGAGUGUUUUUUAUAGGGCAGGGCAGCUCUAACCAACAUCUCCAAUCUCAUCUCAUUGAUUGGACUCAGGUUAGCUGAAUCCUGACUCCAAUUAGCUUUUGGAAAAGUCAUUAGCCUAGGGGUUCACAUACCUUUUCCAACCUACACUGUGAAUGUUUAAAUGAUGUAUUCAAUACAGACAAGAAAAAUACAACAAUUGGUGUGUUAUUAGUUUAAGCACACUGUGUUUGUCUAUUGCUGUGACUAAGAUCAGAUCAAAUUUGAUAACUAAUUUAUGCAGAAAUCCAGGUAAUUCCAAAGAGUUCACAUACUUUUUUCCCCCACUGUAUAUGUACGCAUGAUCACGCAGCAUCCGGUCAAAAGGGUUGUUAAACCUUGAUGGAGAUUGCAUGGUGGGUUUGCAGUUUACACAGUGUUGUGUAUGUAUUUGCAGAAUAAAC
This 2253-nucleotide long non-coding RNA is filed under the name Salmo salar (Atlantic salmon). RNAcentral describes it as "lncRNA (ENSSSAG00000091753.1)". The record is from RNAcentral. Lineage: Eukaryota; Metazoa; Chordata; Actinopteri; Salmoniformes; Salmonidae.